GGGGGAAGGAGAGGGAAGAGGUGAGAGAUGGAACUGUGUUUUUGUUGGCAAUUCAAGUAAGAACCAAGACAUCUCAGGAGCGUUCCCACGGAAUGUCCAAAUGCUCUGCCUUCCAGAAGCAGGUGCUGAUGUAUUUCGGGAACUCUGUGGACAUACUUAGCAGUCUAAAUCUAGAUUCCGGGUUGAAUUCCCAGCACUCAGUUCACCCAGAUCUGGCCUCCAGCAGCAGGACCAGAAGCAGCAGCGAGGAGAGGCAGAAGCAGCAGCCACCUGGGCACUCCUCACCAUCACAGAAGCGGCUCCCAGAUGGCUCUGUGGGCCCAGGCCCCUCUUCCUUCCAUUCAGAAAAACACACAGCAGUUAACUGCAUCCGUGUGUGCAAUUGAGAAGGAAAAAGCAAAAACCUGGCUCCGAAGCAGUCAGAAAUAGAAGUGGGAAAAGAAGCAAGUGAUGUGCGUUCUUGAGGUCCUCCGAAGAGAUGUCUUGGAGACAACAGAAAUAAAUGACCCUGUAAAUUUUCUUUAUCCUACUGGGCACCUUGACCAGAGCACCUGGAGCUGUGGCCUUGCACAGGUGUUGGGGAGGAACUCUUCUGGAUUAAACAUGGAAAACCCACCAACCACAGAGAUGCAAGCUUCAAGUGAGCGUAUCUGCGCUGCUAGUAUCCUAGCGGGGUGGGAAUCAGAAUGCAAUGACCUCGAUGUGUGUUAUUACAUAGGUAGAAGGUUCUAGAACUAUGCUGUAGCCAACCCCCAUGUGCAGCACUGUCUGGACUCUAGAAGAUGCUCUGAUUCAAGAGGAUGUAAAGAAAUUCUCUAAGCCGAUAAGAAAAAUAGAAGAAACCCAAAUGGGCAAUGAGUGCAUGGGAACUCACUCACCUCAGUGGAAAGGAGGGAAUGGCAAGCCAGCCCACUGAAGCCCACUGGGGACAUAGGACAAGUCUGCAAAGCAGAGACAGCCCCUCCAGGAAGAGCGACCAGGCCUUGAGAGGACAUGGCCUUAGGACCAGAUCCAGGGAAGACACAGUCACUAACCCCUGGCUCAUCUGGCAGGUGUGGGAAGCAGCCAGGCCCGUGGCUUCACCAGCUCCCCCCGAUCUCUGCCUUCAGCUGUCCUGCAGCCUGGGUCAGGCACCUAGGCAGCUUUAUGGCAGGCGGAGAUGCACCACCCACAUCCUCUUUCCAGGCAGGGCUUGCUGCCCUGGCUGUAGCGAGUGCGGCAGCAGGUGGCCUCCAGCUAUCAGCAACUUCAGAGAGCUGCCUUGCCUGAGGUCCCGUCCCUUCUGGGGAAGCUCCCAUCUGCCAGGGGGCUACAAAAGCACAGUGGACACCAUGAUGGGCAAUUCUGGCUGAUGGGAGCACCACCUGGUGGCUGAGGCAUUCUUGGGCCACAUAGCAGUUGACUGCCCUCUCCACCAUCUUUUCACAAGUGUUAAUCCCAAUAAACACCCAUCCUCUUC
This 1459-nucleotide long non-coding RNA is filed under the name Homo sapiens (human). RNAcentral's name for it is "non-protein coding LINC00851:1". The record is from RNAcentral. Lineage: Eukaryota; Metazoa; Chordata; Mammalia; Primates; Hominidae.